AGAAAACUGCCCCACAUCAUCUGCAGUAGGACGGGGGAGUUGGAGCCCUGGUCAGGCCACUCUGCUACUGACCACAGUUUUCUCAUCUCUAAAAAGGCGCAGUAACAAUAUAAUUACCGUAUGCAGUCCCCCAGGAUACAGGGUCAAAGGAGAGCACAACCAUCGCAGUUGGAAGCCCAUGGGGCAGGGCCCAGGACACAGUGAGCAUACAAUAGACAUUAGCUGCUGUGGUGUCUUGAUUUCAAGCCCAGUGCAGAUGCAUCUGACUUACGAAACUUCAGUGACACCUGCUCUGUGCCAGACACUGAAGAUGGAGCAGUGAACAGCACUGACCCAGCCUGUCCUCCUGUUGCCUGCAGGCCAGACGGAGUCUCACUCUGUCACCAGGCUGGAGUACAGUGGUGUGAUCUCGGCUCACUGCAACCUCCGCCUCCCAGGUUCAAGCGAUUCUCCUGCCUCAGCCUCUCAAGUAGCUGAGAUUACAGACGUGUGUCACCAUGCCCUGUUAAUUUUUGUUUGUUUGUUUUGUUUUUUGUUUUGUUUUGUUUCGUUUUUUGUUUUUUUUUUUUGAGACGGAGUCUUGCUCUGUCGCCCAGGCUGGAGUGCAGUGGCCCCGAUCUCGGCUCACCGCAAGCUCCGCCUCGCGGGUUCAUGCCAUUCUCCGGCCUCAGCCUCCCGAGUAGCUGGGACUACAGGCAUCCGCCACCACACCCAGCUAAUUUUUUGUAUUUUUUUUAGUAGAGACGGGGUUUCACUGUGUUAGCCAGGAUGGUCUCGAUCCCCUGACCUUGUGAUCCACCCAAGGCCUCGGCCUCCCAAAGUGCUGGGAUUACAGGCAUGAGCCACCGUGCCCGGUCAAUUUUUAUAUUUUUUGUAGAGACAGGGUUUCACCAUGUUGGCCAGGCUGGUGUCGAACUCCCGACCUCAGGUGAUUGUCGGCCUUGGCCUCCCAAAGUGCUGGGAUUACAGGCGUGAGCCACCGCGCCCAGCCGGUGGGCAGCCAGUUGUGUUCCGGGAGGAGGAGGACACCCUGGAAAGACAGUGGGGCCAGACACUGAACUGCCUUUGGAAGCAAGUAGGAGCAACAGCGAAGGUUUGCUGGCUCAGAAGCAAGGUCUCGCUGUGUUACCCUGGCUGGAGUGCAGUGGCUACUUACAGGCAUGAUCAUAGCAUACUGCAGCCUCGAACUCCUGGACUAGAGCAGUUCUCCUGCCUCAGCCUCCAGAGCAGCUGGGACUGCAGACACGCACCACAGAGCCCAGCCUGAGUCAUUUUGAUUCUGUAACUGGCUUCCUCUCGGCGGGCAGGCUCACACCCUCCACCCCCAGCUGGAGAUGGAAGGAGGAUGCUCACCGCCCAUUCCUCAUGCAGGCCAUCGAUGGAAAUGUCAGACAGUGCGAGUCCACGCCUGAACACUUCUGGGGUCCGCUCUGGGACUGACACUGGCAGAUCCAUCGGUGAGCUCCCGCCUGCCACCUCUGGGCCUGCAUUGCGGUGAUAGGGCCAAGGGCCUGGGCCUUCAAUUCUCCAGACUUGCCAAAAUGCUCAGCGCAGGCCUCGUCGGCAACUGCAGACAAGCAGAGGCAGCACCUGGGCUCUGCCUGUGCCUGGCACAGUGAAGCGAGGGUGGGGGCAGGAAUGAGGGUCCUCUCCAUGCAAGGGGGGAAGAUAGAAGAACAAAAUUUCACCCUAAUGUAGUGUCUUUAGACCGUGCAAUGUUGUGCUCCUGUUAGUCUGAUAUCAGGGGCUUGCAGCCUGGCAAAGGAAAAAAAACAGGCUGAGGCACAUGAUAGAAGACAGGCAGGGAUGCCACAAUCAUAACCAUGGCAAAGACCAGGAUCAGAAAGGCCCACCAUCUCUGACCCCAAAUCCCUGGGCAGAUGGUUCCAGAACUCAGAAUUUUCCCAGUUGUAGAAAGAUGGGGCCAGGUGCAGUGGCUCACGCCUGUAAUCCCAGCAUUUUGGGAGUACAAGGUGGGCGGAUCACCUGAGGUCAGGAGUUCGAGACCAGCCUGGCC
RNAcentral lists this long non-coding RNA (2017 nucleotides) under Homo sapiens (human). Its description in RNAcentral is "HSALNT0355124". Lineage: Eukaryota; Metazoa; Chordata; Mammalia; Primates; Hominidae. The record is from RNAcentral.